UUUUUUGAGAGUUUGAUCCUGGCUCAGGAUGAACGCUGGCGGCGUGCCUUAGGCAUGCAAGUCGAGCGGUCCGGCGCAAGCCGGACAGCGGCAGACGGCUGAGUAACGCGUAGGAACAUACCUCGAGGAGGUGGACAGCUCAUCGAAAGAUGGGGUAAUACACCGUACCUUGGAUGGAGAUUCAAGGGCAUAAAAUUUCUAAUUUCUAAAAACAAAUCCCAACAUUUCAAUUAGAAAUUAGUAAUUUGUACUUUUGAGUCUUCAUCCAAGAAAGGGAGUAACUUCUCGCCUUGAGAUUGGCCUGCGUCCUAUCAGGCAGUUGGUGGGGUAAUGGCCUACCAAACCGAUGACGGGUAGGGGGUGUGAGAGCACGACCCCCCAGAAUGGGACUGAGACACGGCCCAUACACCUACGGGUGGCAGCAACCGGGAAUCUUCCCCAAUGGACGAAAGUCUGAGGGAGCGACGCCGCGUGAAGGAUGAAGGCCCUCGGGUCGUAAACUUCUUUUGCCAGGGAGAAUAAAAGAUAGUACCUGGCGAAUAAGCACCUGCUAACUACGUGCCAGAAGCCUCGGUAAUACGUAGGGUGCAAGCGUUAUCCGGAUUUACUGGGCGUAAAGAGUGCGUAGGUGGCCAAACAAGUCACAUUUUAAAGACCCCGACUCAAUCGGGGGAAAGGGUGCGAUACUGUUUGGCUAGAAAAUUGGGGGGGAGGCUGGAAUUUCCGGUGUAGCAGUGAAAUGCGUUGAUAUCGGAAAGAACACCAAAGGCGAAGGCAGGCCUCUAACCAAAUUUUGACGCUGAGGCACGAAAGCUAGGGGAGCGAAGCAGAUUAGAGACCUGCGUAGUCCUAGCCGUAAACGAUGCCCGCUAGAUACCCGGGGGACAGAGGACAGAAGGCAAAGGACAGAUUUUUCUGUCUUCAGUUUUCCGUUUUCCGUCCUCUGGGUGUCGCAAGGUAACCCGUUAAGCGGGCCGCCUGGGAAGUACGGCCGCAAGGCUAAAACUCAAAGGAAUUGACGGGGACCCGCACAAGCAGUGGAGCGUGUGGUUUAAUUCGAGACGAAGCGAAAAACCUCACCAGGGCUUGACAUCUCGCCGUUUUAUUCUGAUGGAAACAUUGGAAGAUCCGUAAGGAAGGCGGGACAGGUGAUGCAUGGCUGUCGUCAGCUCGUACCGUGAGGUGUUGGCUUAAGUGCCAUAACGAGCGCAACCCGCAUCCUUUGUUAAAUUUUUUCAAAGGGAACAGCCUCGAUUUUUUCGGGGAGGAAGGAGCGGAUGACGUCAAGUCAGCACGUCCCUUAUGCCCUGGGCGACACACACCCUACAAUGGCGAAAAACAACGAGUUGCAAGCCGGUAACGGCAAGCUAAUCUCUGAAAUUUCGCCCCAGUUGGGAUUGAGGGCUGAAACUCGCCCUCAUGAACAUGGAAUUGCUAGUAAUCGCGGAUCAGCAGGCCGCGGUGAAUACGUUCUCGGGUCUUGUACAAAUUAAAUUGCGCCUUUCGGCCAAUUUUUCCAGAAGGUGAAAGUCCUUCUAA
This 1539-nucleotide ribosomal RNA is filed under the name Candidatus Curtissbacteria bacterium. RNAcentral describes it as "bacterial SSU rRNA". It matches the Rfam family "Bacterial small subunit ribosomal RNA". The record is from RNAcentral. Lineage: Bacteria; Candidatus Curtissiibacteriota.